CCUACGGGAGGCAGCAGUGAGGAAUAUUGGUCAAUGGGCGGAAGCCUGAACCAGCCAAGUCGCGUGAGGGAAUAAGGCCCUACGGGUCGUAAACCUCUUUUGCCGGGGAGCAAGGGCGGGGACGUGUCCCGGCCCGGAGAGUACCCGGAGAAAAAGCAUCGGCUAACUCCGUGCCAGCAGCCGCGGUACUACGGAGGAUGCGAGCGUUAUCCGGAUUUAUUGGGUUUAAAGGGUGCGUAGGCGGGCUUUUAAGUCAGCGGUAAAAUUUCGGGGCUCAACCCAGUCCGGCCGUUGAAACUGGGGGCGUUGAGUGGGCGAGAAGAAGGCGGAAUGCGUGGUGUAGCGGUGAAAUGCAUAGAUAUCACGCAGAACCCCGAUUGCGAAGGCAGCCUUCCGGCGCCCUACUGACGCUGAGGCACGAAAGCGUGGGUAUCGAACAGGAUUAGAUACCCCGGUAGUC
This 460-nucleotide ribosomal RNA is filed under the name uncultured bacterium. Its description in RNAcentral is "partial 16S ribosomal RNA". It matches the Rfam family "Bacterial small subunit ribosomal RNA", at positions 338 to 795 of the family's 1533-position model. The record is from RNAcentral.